This is a small nucleolar RNA of Bufo bufo (common toad), 136 nucleotides long. RefSeq annotates it as small nucleolar RNA SNORA64/SNORA10 family. NCBI's taxonomy places the organism in Eukaryota, Metazoa, Chordata, Amphibia, Anura, Bufonidae. The record is from RefSeq and is a predicted model, not a curated record. The transcript has a single exon.
GUUCUCUCAGCUCUGCUCAAUCACAUGUGUAUGUGGUGUGGUUGGCAUUUUUAUGAGAGGCAUAGCAAUGGGCCCCAUAUGCACGGCGGGCUGACUUCAUGCUGGUCUUCCUGUUCCUGUUUGAGGCUCAACAUUU